CUGGAACAGUGGGUGGUUGCUAUGAACCAAUAUGGUUAGACCUUUCUUGCUAUAUUGCUAGUAGAGGAAAGUCCGGACUUCACUGAAAGACAACGGCGGAUAACGUCCGCGAAGGAAACUUACGGUUAGGGCCACAGAAAAUAUACCGCUUUUUAGCAAGGGUGAAAAGGUGUGGUAAGAGCGCACCGGGUCUGUGGUAACACAGAUUGCAUGGUAACCCCCGUUGGAAGCAAGCCUAAAUUUGAUAUCAUAGCUCUUUCAGGCUUAUCAGGGUAAGGCGCUUGAGGGUCAUAAUAAUAUGAUUCCCAGAUGAAUAACCACUUAAACAGAAUCCGGCUUAUAGCUGUUCCUGUUAU
Molecule: RNase P RNA, 356 nt
Filed under: Candidatus Xenolissoclinum pacificiensis L6
Lineage: Bacteria; Pseudomonadati; Pseudomonadota; Alphaproteobacteria; Rickettsiales; Anaplasmataceae
Description: Bacterial RNase P class A
Rfam family: Bacterial RNase P class A
About the family: Ribonuclease P (RNase P) is a ubiquitous endoribonuclease, found in archaea, bacteria and eukarya as well as chloroplasts and mitochondria. Its best characterised activity is the generation of mature 5'-ends of tRNAs by cleaving the 5'-leader elements of precursor-tRNAs.
Source: Rfam by way of RNAcentral